GAUGAACGCUGGCGGUAUGCUUAACACAUGCAAGUCGAACGGUCACUUCGGUGAUAGUGGCGGACGGGUGAGUAACGCGUGAGAAUCUGUCUUCAGGUCGGGGACAACAGUUAGAAAUGACUGCUAAUACCGGAUGUGCCUUUGGGUGAAAGAUUUAUUGCCUGAAAAAGAGCUCGCGUCAGAUUAGCUAGUAGGUGGUGUAAGAGACUACCUAGGCUCCGAUCUGUAGCUGGUCUGAGAGGACGAUCAGCCACACUGGAACUGAGACACGGUCCAGACUCCUACGGGAGGCAGCAGUGGGGGAUUUUCCGCAAUGGGCGAAAGCCUGACGGAGCAAUACCGCGUGAGGGACGAAGGCUUUUGGGUCGUAAACCUCUUUUCUCAAGGAAGAUGAUGACGGUACUUGAGGAAUAAGCAUCGGCUAACUCUGUG
Molecule: ribosomal RNA, 432 nt
Filed under: uncultured bacterium
Lineage: Bacteria
Description: partial 16S ribosomal RNA
Rfam family: Bacterial small subunit ribosomal RNA
Source: RNAcentral